RNAcentral lists this ribosomal RNA (270 nucleotides) under uncultured bacterium. RNAcentral's name for it is "partial 16S ribosomal RNA". It matches the Rfam family "Bacterial small subunit ribosomal RNA", at positions 29 to 326 of the family's 1533-position model. The record is from RNAcentral.
AGCGAACGCUGGCGGCAGGCCUAACACAUGCAAGUCGAGCGCCGUAGCAAUACGGAGCGGCAGACGGGAGAGUAACACGUGGGAACGUGCCUUUCAGUUCGGAACAACCCAGGGAAACUUGGGCUAAUACCGGAUACGCCCUUACGGGGAAAGAUUUAUCGCUGAAAGAGCGGCCCGCGUCCGAUUAGCUAGUUGGUGAGGUAAUGGCUCACCAAGGCGACGAUCGGUAGCUGGUCUGAGAGGAUGACCAGCCUCACUGGGACUGAGACA